CUCCCUUUCUCUCUUUUUCUUUCUUCUUCCCUCUUUUUUCUUCCUUCCCGCGCUACCUUCUUCUUUCUUCUUCUCUUUUUCUCUCUUUUUCUUUCUUAUUCUCUCUCCGCUCUCACACCUAGUAUACCCCCCAGCCCCCUCUUCUCUCAGAUGGGAAGAAGAAAAAGAAAAGGAAAAGAGAAGAUAAUAAGAAAAAGAAAAAGAGAAGAGAAGAUCUGAUUUUUUUUUGGCUAGGUUGAAUCCACUUGGGGAAUGGACAUCCUCUACUCUAAUGGCAACAUCGACAGAUACAAUUUUCCAACGCAAGCGAACAUGGGUGACAAUAAAUAAUGCACUAGAAAACACCACAGAACUUCAGGCUAAGUGUGAGUCAAAGGAUGACGAUCUUGGUUUACAUAAUAUCAGCACAGGUGCCAACGUACUACACCUUCACAUUUAGACCAAAUUUGCUUGGGACGACAGCAUUCACGUGUAACUUUUCGUGGGCUAUUCUGAACAAUUACACGUUUCAGAUCUUCGACUAUGACAGGGAUCAUAGAGUUUGCAGCAAAUGCGUUUGGCAUAUUUUGACUACGGGUCCAUGUGAAUAUGACUAUAAAAACAAGACGUAUGAUUUGUGCCAUCCAUGGACCUGAUUGAUUACAAGAGCUCUAGCCGGCUACAAUCUAUCAAUAUUAUAAAUAACUAAUGUUGUAGUUUGCCAUAUAUAUAUAUAUAUAUAUAUAUAUAUAUAUAUCUGUGUGUGUAUAUAUUUGUGGAGACUGUUUGGAAGUCAUUCAAGUAUUUCUCUUAUAAUUGAUUUUUCUUUUUUAUUGUUUGGAUUUGAAUUUUUCAAUGGAAUGCAUGCAUCCAUUGGACAAUGAUGAUAUAGCUUGUAGUUUUGAUGUUCAUGCAUGGCGGCUGAGCCCACAUAGCUGACCAGCCAGUAUUUGGUUUUUAGAUUUA
Corylus avellana is the source of this 945-nucleotide long non-coding RNA. RefSeq lists it as uncharacterized. The record is from RefSeq and is a predicted model, not a curated record. Lineage: Eukaryota; Viridiplantae; Streptophyta; Magnoliopsida; Fagales; Betulaceae.